RNAcentral lists this ribosomal RNA (497 nucleotides) under uncultured bacterium. RNAcentral describes it as "partial 16S ribosomal RNA". It matches the Rfam family "Bacterial small subunit ribosomal RNA", at positions 28 to 507 of the family's 1533-position model. The record is from RNAcentral.
GAUGAACGCUGGCGGCGUGCCUAAUACAUGCAAGUCGAGCGAACAGACGAGGAGCUUGCUCCUCUGACGUUAGCGGCGGACGGGUGAGUAACACGUGGAUAACCUACCUAUAAGACUGGGAUAACUUCGGGAAACCGGAGCUAAUACCGGAGAAUAUAUUGAACCGCAUGGUUCAAUAGUGAAAGACGGUUUUGCUGUAUCUUAUAGAUGGAUCCGCGCCGCAUUAGCUAGUUGGUAAGGUAACGGCCUACCAAGGCAACGAUGCGUAGCCGACCGGAGAGGGGGAUCGGCCACACUGGAACUGAGACACGGUCCAGACUCCUACGAGAGGCAGCAGUAGGGAAUCUGCCGCAGUGGGCGAAAGCUUGACGGAGCAACGCCGCGUGAGUGAUGAAGGUCUUCGGAUCGUAAAACUCUGUUAUUAGGGAAGAACAAAUGUGUAAGUAACUAUGCACGUCUUGACGGUACCUAAUCAGAAAGCCACGGCUAACUACGUG